CCUACGGGUGGCAGCAGUGAGGAAUAUUGGUCAAUGGACGAGAGUCUGAACCAGCCAAGUAGCGUGAAGGAUGACUGCCCUAUGGGUUGUAAACUUCUUUUAUAUGGGAAUAAAAUGUUCCACGUGUGGGAUUUUGUAUGUACCAUAUGAAUAAGCAUCGGCUAACUCCGUGCCAGCAGCCGCGGUAAUACGGAGGAUCCGAGCGUUAUCCGGAUUUAUUGGGUUUAAAGGGAGCGUAGGUGGAUUGUUAAGUCAGUGGUGAAAGUUUGCGGCUCAACCGUAAAAUUGCAGUUGAAACUGGCAGUCUUGAGUACAGUAGAGGUGGGCGGAAUGCGUGGUGUAGCGGUGAAAUGCUUAGAUAUCACGCAGAACUCCGAUUGCGAAGGCAGUUCACUGGACUGCAACUGACACUGAGGCACGAAAGUGUGGGUAUCAAACAGGAUUAGAUACCCUUGUAGUC
This 460-nucleotide ribosomal RNA is filed under the name uncultured bacterium. Its description in RNAcentral is "partial 16S ribosomal RNA". It matches the Rfam family "Bacterial small subunit ribosomal RNA", at positions 338 to 795 of the family's 1533-position model. The record is from RNAcentral.